AUUGAACGCUGGCGGCAUGCCUUACACAUGCAAGUCGAACGGCAGCGCGGGAGCAAUCCUGGCGGCGAGUGGCGAACGGGUGAGUAAUAUAUCGGAACGUGCCCAGUAGUGGGGGAUAGCCCGGCGAAAGCCGGAUUAAUACCGCAUGAGACCUGAGGGUGAAAGCGGGGGAUCGCAAGACCUCGCGCUAUUGGAGCGGCCGAUAUCAGAUUAGCUAGUUGGUGGGGUAAAGGCCUACCAAGGCAACGAUCUGUAGUUGAUCUGAGAGGACGACCAGCCACACUGGGACUGAGACACGGCCCAGACUCCUACGGGAGGCAGCAGUGGGGAAUUUUGGACAAUGGGCGCAAGCCUGAUCCAGCAAUGCCGCGUGCAGGAAGAAGG
This 384-nucleotide ribosomal RNA is filed under the name uncultured bacterium. RNAcentral's name for it is "bacterial SSU rRNA". It matches the Rfam family "Bacterial small subunit ribosomal RNA", at positions 29 to 414 of the family's 1533-position model. The record is from RNAcentral.